Molecule: long non-coding RNA, 609 nt
Filed under: Carica papaya (papaya)
Lineage: Eukaryota; Viridiplantae; Streptophyta; Magnoliopsida; Brassicales; Caricaceae
Description: long non-coding RNA (CPAP_LNC001555)
Source: RNAcentral
UGGAAUCCUGUGCCUAAUUACCAAUUAUUAAAUAUCAUAGUUUUAGUAUUUUAGAAAGAUUAAACUAUAUUUGUAAGUGCUUACGUACUUACCUGAUUUUCAUUUACGAAUUUAUUUUACAAAAGAGUUUUCAAAUGCCAAAUACAAUCAUGUGUAACCACCAAAAAGAUGUAUUAUUACACGCCUCCACACAAUUUCACCGAAGUGUACAUACGCCACCACCGAAAAUCGUCACGCGCUACCACUGGACCACCGUGUGUCGCCACAAAUCGAUUGAAACAUGGCACAGAAUGCACCGCACGCUCAGAUUUGAUGCAGAUAAAGUGAAAUCACGUUGGAAAACGGUGCAGAUGCGCAAAAUAAUGCUUUAGUCUUCGCGCUCCGAUCUUCUUCUCCAGCGUUGCUCUGUCGUGCCCAACUACUUUUCCACUCUCCCUUUUCUUGCUUCGACACAAAUCGAGAAUAAACUGGGUGUGUCACCGCCGCUGCUGUCUUCUCCUUUUUUUUCUUAUUCUUACUUCAUUCCCUCUUUCUCUCUCUCUCUCUCUCUCUCUCUCUCUCUCUCUCUCUCUCUUUCUCUCUUUCCACCUUUCUCUCUUUACCCAAUCC